AGAUCAGCUACUUCUCCAGCACCAUGUCUGCCUGCACGCCACCAUGCUGCACGCCAUGAUGACAAUGGACUAAACCUCUGAAACUCCUAACCUGCCAUGGUCUCGUAAGAGCUGAAUGCUGUUCUGGAUCGUGAGGAGUCCUCAGCCAUCUCCUCACCUAAGGGGCGACCCUGAGACCCGCCUUGAAGUUUGCAGCUCAGGGAAGACAGACUCUCUGAAAAAAUCAACAUGGAAUCAGAUCACUGAAUGAACUUCCUCUCCCUAAUGUGACAGCAUGCUACCAGAGGCAUCCCAGCACACAUAAUGUUCCUUCUACCCAGAACAGCUUGAUGCUCGCUCUGCAACAACAACAACAACAACAACAACAACAACAACAACAGCAGCAGCAAAGUGGGAUGAAAGGAGAAAGCAACUGUCUGAAGCAUCAAAACCAGAGUCAGAUAUGGCAGGAAAGUUUAGCUAUCGUGUGUGUGUGUGUGUGUGUGUGUGUGUGUGUGUGUGUGUGUGUGUUUGUGUGUGUUUGCCCACGCAAACAUGGAGGUCAGAGAACAGCCUGAGGGAGCUGGUUCUCUCCUACCCUGUGGUUGUCGGUAUUUAAUUCAGGGCCUCAGGCCUGGCAGCAAACCACUUUAGUAUUCUCUUAGCCAUUUCACAGGCCCCAAACAAGGAAAACCGAUCACUGCGCUGGAGAAGAGAUGGGAUGGGAUCAGGAUCAAGCAAAUGACCAAACGAUGCAAAACUCUGUGAUGGGUGAAAAGUACUGUUCCUGGGCUGGGCUGACUGGAGUGCCAAGGAGAGAAUCUCGGGGGCUUCAACACACGACACCAGGGACUUCCUAAAUGAAAUGGUGGGGAAUAAAGACUGGAAUAAACCCAGGAGGAUAUCUGACUUCUGGAGGACUAUCACAGAAGAUACAAGCAUAGGUGAUCUCAGGAGAGAAAACGGAAGAACACGUGAUAUAGCAUUGACUGAGAAUUUCCCCCAAACAGAUGGAGGAUGCCAAAGCACAGAUUCACAAAGCUGAGAGAAUACCAAACAAGACAGAGGAAAAUGACACAUGAGCAUUGCUUCUAAACUCCUAAUAAAAUUCUAGACAAAUAAAAACAAUGCCGGUGUCUCCAUGAUGAUAGUGACACAUCAUUUGGGACAAAUCAAACACGCACCGGCAUGUGGAAAGCAAGGAAAUGUCCCUAAAAAUCUUUUGUACUGUGGAGUCUGUGAGAAGCAAGGAAGGUUGGCCUGUGAUAAUAUGUAGAGAAUAUAUGUAACUUGGUAUGUGUUGGGCCACACCCAGCCACUAGGCUGCUUGCUGUACGGCAUGUACUUCUAGGAGCCCUCAGAUGAGGGGUGAGACAGGAGUGACCCAAAUUUCUUCUUAAUUAAAGCCGAAGAAAUCAAAACAAGAAUUGCGGUGUGAUGGCAAGACAUUAAAUAAAAAGAAGAUUUAUCAUUUCCAGAAAUAGCUGCACUUGUAGCCAAUCCCACCCGGGGUGGGGGUGGGGGUGAGGGGCAGGGAGAAAGCUGUGAGUUGUGUCCACACUACAGACUACACUUCUGGUGAAUAUGAGCCCUGUGGGCAUCCGCUGUGUGGAAGGCGGGUGCUUACCUUCCCCAGAUCCUGUGCUCUUCCCCAUCAGUCUACGUUUGUCACCCAGGAAACACCUAUCACCAUGUUCCUGUCUUUUGAAGCAAACAGAUGAAAACCUAGACCUCUCCACCUUCUUGGAGCCUCUACAAACAAUGCUACUUUCUCUUGUUCUAUUUCUGCUCCUGUCUACACACUGCUGUGGGGACAGCUUUAGACUGCAGCUCUCAGCACAUUGAUCUUCCUCCAAGAGCAGCUUCCUCCUGCCCCGGACCUCCAUCUAUGGGCCCCAUCACACAGAGAAGAAAUGAGGGGGCUGUUCCAUCACUCGGAUUGUGAGGAAGUCUAGUAAACCAAAGGAGGAGAGAACAGUUGAAGAAGAUGAGCAAGGUAGCAGUCGGUAAUCCUGGGACAGCACCAGAUGCUCAGAAAUGCACUCCUCUCCCCGGCUGCCCGCGCCAACAGGUGGGAUGCCUGGCAGCCCGGAAACCAAGCCCAAGUCCACAGCACACUGGAGGUACAAGGCCACAAUGAACUGACAGAACCUGGACCAGGGGUAAAAGCACUAUAUAUAGCCUGGGGUAUUCCAGCCAGCUCCCUGCUUUUGUAGAGUUUUAUCAUUUCUCAGCUCUGCCUAUUCCGUUGUAUCUUGUCUGUCUGUCUUCCUUUCUUUCUUUUUUCUUUGAGAUAGGGUUUCUCUGUAUGAUCAAUCCUGGCUGUCCUGGAACUCACUUUUUGUAGACCAGGCUGGCUUUAAUCCUGAGGGCUGGGAUUAAAGGUAUGCACAGCCACUUUGUUGGAGGCGAUUCUUUUGUGACAAGGCCACAGCAGAAUGGCUAUGACAAAGACUGCAGAGUUUCAGAAAGCCUAAAAUGUUGACACACUGGUCCUUCCAGAAGGCUGCUCACACCUUCUAGUUUGGGCCCUCCAGCUGUAAUCAUACGUAAAUUAACCUGAAGAGGAUAAAAGACUGUCUAUCUGGCUCAGACCACUGCAACCAAAGAAACCUGUUGCUUAGCAGAUGUUUACUAUAGUUUAAAGUAAAGAACAGAGGUGCCGCUAAAAUGGUACCAAGACUCUCUGAUGGGAGAGCCUGCAGCAUACAGUAGAGGCAGGGUCCCCAUGUGCUGGACCACUGUCCCAAGGCUCUGCCUUUUCUGAGAGGACAACCCAUGAGGUGUUAGAUGUGGGUGUCGUUUGGCUAACUACCUGGGAGCUCUUCGUGAAAACCAGGCUGGACAGCCAGCCAGACCGAAUCAUUAUGAGAAUCCAGAAACACGAGGCUGUCCAGAUAGAUUAGACCUAAUGCAGAAAAAGCACUCAAGGUCUUUCCACACCAUACAUUUACAUUAAAAAUGCUGUAGCGGAGAAAACACUUGGAAUGCAGCUCACACUGAAGGCUCCCACACACAGCUCAGCCCAAAACAGCUGGC
Apodemus sylvaticus (European woodmouse) is the source of this 3018-nucleotide long non-coding RNA. RefSeq lists it as uncharacterized. The record is from RefSeq and is a predicted model, not a curated record. The transcript is spliced from 3 exons. NCBI's taxonomy places the organism in Eukaryota, Metazoa, Chordata, Mammalia, Rodentia, Muridae.